Molecule: transfer RNA, 69 nt
Filed under: Fukomys damarensis (Damara mole-rat)
Lineage: Eukaryota; Metazoa; Chordata; Mammalia; Rodentia; Bathyergidae
Rfam family: tRNA
About the family: Transfer RNA (tRNA) molecules are approximately 80 nucleotides in length. Their secondary structure includes four short double-helical elements and three loops (D, anti-codon, and T loops). Further hydrogen bonds mediate the characteristic L-shaped molecular structure. tRNAs have two regions of fundamental functional importance: the anti-codon, which is responsible for specific mRNA codon recognition, and the 3' end, to which the tRNAs corresponding amino acid is attached (by aminoacyl-tRNA synthetases). tRNAs cope with the degeneracy of the genetic code in two manners: having more than one tRNA (with a specific anti-codon) for a particular amino acid; and 'wobble' base-pairing, i.e. permitting non-standard base-pairing at the 3rd anti-codon position.
Source: Rfam by way of RNAcentral
GGGGAUGUAGCUCAGUGGUGCAGUGCCUGCCUCGCAAGUAUGAGGCCCUGGGUUUGAUUCCCAGUACCA